Molecule: ribosomal RNA, 252 nt
Filed under: uncultured prokaryote
Description: partial 16S ribosomal RNA
Rfam family: Bacterial small subunit ribosomal RNA
Source: RNAcentral
ACGUAGGAGGCAAGCGUUAUCCGGAUUUACUGGGCGUAAAGGGCGUGCAGGCGGUUGGCUAAGUGCGUUGUGAAAGCUCCCGGGCUUAACCGGGCGAGGGCAUUGAAGACUGGUCAGCUAGAGGACGGUAGAGGGGAGUGGAAUUCCGGGUGCAGCGGUGAAAUGCGUAGAGAUCCGGAGGAACACCAGAGGCGAAGGCGACACCCUGGGCCGUACCUGACGCUAAGACGCGAAAGCAUGGGGAGCGGACGG